Molecule: long non-coding RNA, 697 nt
Organism: Anopheles coustani
Lineage: Eukaryota; Metazoa; Arthropoda; Insecta; Diptera; Culicidae
Exons: 3
Source: RefSeq, a predicted model, not a curated record
CAAGAGCAGCUAGUACCCCGGUGGUAGAAUCAUCAUGAUUUCUCAUUCUGUCUAAUUGACAAUUGUUACCAACAGAACGUAAAAGCGUGAUGAUUUUGCCGCCAGGGUAGUAACGGAUCGAAUUUAAAUCACCUUUUUGUUUGAGUUACAAUGAAUUAAAUAAGUGACCAAUUAUCUUAAUUAUGAAUCCUGAUAUUUGUUAAGUUUAAGAUUUUGUCGCGGAAUGUGCAGCUAUAGUGUAACGCAAAUAUGACCGUACAAUUUAGGGAUAUGAAGUAAGUGUUACAGCGUGUAUUACAUAGGGUUUUCCCGAAAGAAAUUGUCCGUUCGUAUUCAAACGAUAGAGAUCUUUAAUACUGAUCAGAACGGAUGUCUUCGAGUGCUGCGCGGUAAGCUAAUAUUUUACAUUAAUCAUCUAUCGUGAUAGUAAUGCAUUAUUUUCAAACGGGCAAUGCUGUUUGGUUUUACUUCGAUGAAAUUUGUUACAUUCGAUGUUCGAUCAAAUUCGAUGUAAACUUUGUUGAAGAUUAACUUAGUUACAAUUUGCGUUUUGACUUCUAAUCUAUUAUUUCACUCUCCGAGUACAACGACUUUCCUGUUACGGGUUUUCACCGUAUGCGCUUGUGUGGAAUAUUACAUUCAACUUUUCUGUUACUCUGCUCUGUUACUUUUAGUUCAGUGUCCGCUCCCAUCAGUC